GACGAACGCUGGCGGCGUGCUUAACACAUGCAAGUCGAACGGAAAGGCCCUGCUUUUGUGGGGUGCUCGAGUGGCGAACGGGUGAGUAACACGUGAGUAACCUGCCCUUGACUUUGGGAUAACUUCAGGAAACUGGGGCUAAUACCGGAUAGGAGCUCCUGCUGCAUGGUGGGGGUUGGAAAGUUUCGGCGGUUGGGGAUGGACUCGCGGCUUAUCAGCUUGUUGGUGGGGUAGUGGCUUACCAAGGCUUUGACGGGUAGCCGGCCUGAGAGGGUGACCGGCCACAUUGGGACUGAGAUACGGCCCAGACUCCUACGGGAGGCAGCAGUGGGGAAUAUUGCACAAUGGGCGGAAGCCUGAUGCAGCAACGCCGCGUGCGGGAUGACGGCCUUCGGGUUGUAAACCGCUUUCGCCUGUGACGAAGCGUGAGUGACGGUAAUGGGUAAAGAAGCACCGGCUAACUACGUGCCAGCAGCCGCGGUGAUACGUAGGGUGCGAGCGUUGUCCGGAUUUAUUGGGCGUAAAGGGCUCGUAGGUGGUUGAUCGCGUCGGAAGUGUAAUCUUGGGGCUUAACCCUGAGCGUGCUUUCGAUACGGGUUGACUUGAGGAAGGUAGGGGAGAAUGGAAUUCCUGGUGGAGCGGUGGAAUGCGCAGAUAUCAGGAGGAACACCAGUGGCGAAGGCGGUUCUCUGGGCCUUUCCUGACGCUGAGGAGCGAAAGCGUGGGGAGCGAACAGGCUUAGAUACCCUGGUAGUCCACGCUGUAAACGGUGGGUACUAGGUGUGGGGUCCAUUCCACGGGUUCCGUGCCGUAGCUAACGCUUUAAGUACCCCGCCUGGGGAGUACGGCCGCAAGGCUAAACCUCAAAGGAAUUGACGGGGCCCCGCACAAGCGGCGGAGCAUGCGGAUUAAUUCGAUGCAACGCGUAGAACCUUACCUGGGUUUGACAUGGAUCGGGAGUGCUCAGAGAUGGGUGUGCCUCUUUUGGGGUCGGUUCACAGGUGGUGCAUGGCUGUCGUCAGCUCGUGUCGUGAGAUGUUGGGUUAAGUCCCGCAACGAGCGCAACCCUUGUUCACUGUUGCCAGCACGUUAUGGUGGGGACUCAGUGGAGACCGCCGGGGUCAACUCGGAGGAAGGUGGGGAUGACGUCAAGUCAUCAUGCCCCUUAUGUCCAGGGCUUCACGCAUGCUACAAUGGCUGGUACAGAGAGUGGCGAGCCUGUGAGGGUGAGCGAAUCUCGGAAAGCCGGUCUCAGUUCGGAUUGGGGUCUGCAACUCGACCUCAUGAAGUCGGAGUCGCUAGUAAUCGCAGAUCAGCAACGCUGCGGUGAAUACGUUCCCGGG
RNAcentral lists this ribosomal RNA (1343 nucleotides) under uncultured bacterium. Its description in RNAcentral is "16S ribosomal RNA". It matches the Rfam family "Bacterial small subunit ribosomal RNA", at positions 28 to 1378 of the family's 1533-position model. The record is from RNAcentral.